This 168-nucleotide unclassified non-coding RNA is filed under the name uncultured Myxotrichaceae. Its description in RNAcentral is "sequence contains ITS1". The record is from RNAcentral. Lineage: Eukaryota; Fungi; Ascomycota; Leotiomycetes; Myxotrichaceae.
CCGAGUUCUCGCCCUCGCGGGUAGACCUCUCACCCACUGUUAUCACUACCAUUGUUGCUUUGGCGGGCCGCCAGAUCAGGCCUGGCCGCCGGCUCCUGCCGGCGCGCGCCCGCCAGAGGCCCCGAAAACACUUAAUAUUAGCGACGUCCGAGUACUAUAUAAUAGUUA